GAUGAACGCUAGCGGCAGGCCUAACACAUGCAAGUCGAGGGGUAGAGUUUUUCGGGACUUGAGACCGGCGCACGGGUGCGUAACGCGUAUGCAAUCUACCUUAUACAGGGGAAUAGCCCAGAGAAAUUUGGAUUAAUGCCCCAUAGUGUUAUCGAAUCGCAUGGUUUGAUAACUAAAGUUCCAACGGUAUAAGAUGAGCAUGCGUCCCAUUAGUUAGUUGGUAAGGUAACGGCUUACCAAGGCUACGAUGGGUAGGGGUCCUGAGAGGGAGAUCCCCCACACUGGUACUGAGACACGGACCAGACUCCUACGGGAGGCAGCAGUGAGGAAUAUUGGACAAUGGGCGCAAGCCUGAUCCAGCCAUGCCGCGUGCAGGAUGACGGUCCUAUGGAUUGUAAACUGCUUUUGUACAGGAAGAAACACUACUUCGUGAAGUAGCUUGACGGUACUGUAAGAAUAAGGAUCGGCUAACUCCGUGCCAGCAGCCGCGGUAAAGUG
Molecule: ribosomal RNA, 498 nt
Filed under: uncultured bacterium
Lineage: Bacteria
Description: bacterial SSU rRNA
Rfam family: Bacterial small subunit ribosomal RNA
Source: RNAcentral